This 253-nucleotide ribosomal RNA is filed under the name uncultured bacterium. RNAcentral's name for it is "partial 16S ribosomal RNA". It matches the Rfam family "Bacterial small subunit ribosomal RNA", at positions 524 to 776 of the family's 1533-position model. The record is from RNAcentral.
UACAGAGGGGGCAAGCGUUGUUCGGAAUUACUGGGCGUAAAGGGCUCGUAGGUGGCCAACUAAGUCAUACGUGAAAUCCCUCAGCUUAACUGGGGAACUGCGUCUGAUACUGGGAGGCUUGAGUAUGGGAGAGGGAUGUAGAAUUCCAGGUGUAGCGGUGAAAUGCGUAGAUGUCUGGAGGAAUACCGGUGGCGAAGGCGGCAUCCUGGACCAUUACUGACGCUGAGGAGCGAAAGCGUGGGGAGCGAACAGG